GGGGGUGAACAGGUUUCGACGUCGGUAGUAGAGGUGUCGGAAGCGAGCCGAGGUCACCGGAGUCCUCGUUAAACAGCCGGUAACAACCAUAAGUGCCAAGCCAAACCUUGCACUGGCUGCCUAGAUAAAGGUAGCCCGUCCCCCGGAGGGGUUCCUGCCCCCUUCGGAGUGGGCGUCGCUCAGCAGGAUGGACUCUCCGGGAUGCCCGGACCAGAGAGUUGAGAUCAAUCCGGGUGUAGGGCGGACGGUCACUCGCCGAUGGAGUCCGACCGCCUGAAGGCUCGCCAUCGGCUGCGCUCGGAGAGGCCGCCACCGAAGUAUCGACGGACCGGGGUUCGAUUCCCCGCACCUCCACCU
Molecule: transfer-messenger RNA, 357 nt
Filed under: Acidimicrobiia
Lineage: Bacteria; Bacillati; Actinomycetota
Also listed under: 1 other name
Description: VXMP01 sp021296345 Standard tmRNA
Rfam family: transfer-messenger RNA
About the family: Bacterial tmRNA, also known as 10Sa RNA or SsrA, is named for its dual tRNA and mRNA-like properties. Its role is to liberate the mRNA from a stalled ribosome.
Source: RNAcentral